RNAcentral lists this ribosomal RNA (505 nucleotides) under uncultured bacterium. RNAcentral describes it as "partial 16S ribosomal RNA". It matches the Rfam family "Bacterial small subunit ribosomal RNA", at positions 28 to 507 of the family's 1533-position model. The record is from RNAcentral.
GACGAACGCUGGCGGCGUGCCUAAUACAUGCAAGUAGAACGCACAGUUUAUACCGUAGCUUGCCACACCAUAGACUGUGAGUUGCGAACGGGUGAGUAACGCGUAGGUAACCUGCCUGGUAGCGGGGGAUAACUAUUGGAAACGAUAGCUAAUACCGCAUAAUAUUAAUUAUUGCAUGAUAAUUAAUUGAAAGGUGCAAUUGCACCACUACCAGAUGGACCUGCGUUGUAUUAGCUAGUAGGUGAGGUAACGGCUCACCUAGGCGACGAUACAUAGCCGACCUGAGAGGGUGAUCGGCCACACUGGGACUGAGACACGGCCCAGACUCCUACGGGUGGCAGCAGUAGGGAAUCUUCGGCAAUGGACGAAAGUCUGACCGAGCAACGCCGCGUGAGUGAAGAAGGGUUUCGGAUCGUAAAGCUCUGUUGUAAGAGAAGAACGGGUGUGAGAGUGGAAAGUUCACACUGUGACGGUAUCUUACCAGAAAGGGACGGCUAACUACGUG